AUUGAACGCUGGCGGCAGGCUUAACACAUGCAAGUCGAACGAGUGGCGGACGGGUGAGUAAUGCCUGGGAAACUGCCUGAUGGAGGGGGAUAACUACUGGAAACGGUAGCUAAUACCGCAUACCAUCGGAUGUGCCCAGAUGGGAUUAGCUAGUAGGUGGGGUAACGGCUCACCUAGGCGACGAUCCCUAGCUGGUCUGAGAGGAUGACCGGCCACACGGGAACUGAGACACGGUCCAGACUCCGACGGGAGGCAGCAGUGGGGAAUAUUGCACAAUGGGCGCAAGCCUGCUGCAGCCAUGCCGAGUGUGUGAAGAAGGCCUUCGGGUUGUAAAGCACUUUCAGCGAGGAGGCGUUACCCGCAGAAGAAGCACCGGCUAACUCCGUGCCAGCCGCCGCGGUAAUAC
Molecule: ribosomal RNA, 406 nt
Filed under: uncultured bacterium
Lineage: Bacteria
Description: partial 16S ribosomal RNA
Rfam family: Bacterial small subunit ribosomal RNA
Source: RNAcentral